This 637-nucleotide long non-coding RNA is filed under the name Bos indicus x Bos taurus (hybrid cattle). RNAcentral's name for it is "lncRNA (ENSBIXG00000019283.1)". Lineage: Eukaryota; Metazoa; Chordata; Mammalia; Artiodactyla; Bovidae. The record is from RNAcentral.
GUGUUGGCUAGCUGGCAAGGAAAACAUGGGAAGACAGUGCCAUGCCGCCAUUAAAAGGAGGCAGUGUACGCAUAUGUAUAUACUGUGUAAUAUUUUUUAUUCUUGAGAACUGCAGAAAAUCUAUUUGUUUUCAAAGAGCCUUUAUUUUUUUAGAAGUACUUCAUUUGAUGUGACACAUCACUUAGAAAAUAAGAUUUUUCUUUGUCUUUCAUUAAUGCCAAUUUUUCUCUUUCAUGUAGUCAAGAAGAUAUUGAAGAAAAAAGAAUUCAUUUGCCCAGAUCCUUGAGAUGCUGCGACUCUGGCCCUUGGGGAACAAAGGAGAGGCCCUUGGGGAACAAAGGAGAGGAGGACUGUUUGGCAGAGACCUAAAUGGGGAAAUGUCGCCCAAGUUGUCUCCAGAUCUUGAGGGGACAGAACUGGAACUAAAAGCAGAAACACUUUCCACCCUCAAAUACCUGCAGGAAAUUCUCUCCACACUCUUUGUGGGUUUUGACCCACAGCUGAUCUUCUGAGCGUUCUGGAUCUAAAUUGGGAUAGCCCAGAUGCGACCUAGUGAAGAUGCAGGAGGGGGCGUUCUGGACGGGGUAAGAAACAGUGGACAUGCUCACUCCUCCGUGGUCUACAUCCCUAUUUUGGG